CCUACGGGAGGCUGCAGUGAGGAAUAUUGGUCAAUGGGCGGAAGCCUGAACCAGCCAAGUAGCGUGCGGUAUGAAGGCCCUAUGGGUCGUAAACCGCUUUUGCACGGGGAUAACACCCUCCACGCGUGGAGGUCUGCAGGUACCGUGCGAAUAAGGGCCGGCUAAUUCCGUGCCAGCAGCCGCGGUAAUACGGAAGGCCCGAGCGUUAUCCGGAUUCAUUGGGCUUAAAGGGAGCGUAGGCGGGCGAUAAAGUAAGCUGUAAAAUCCCGCGGCUCAACCGGGCACCGCCGUUGAAACUGGACGCCUUGAGUUCACAACAGGCAGGCGGAAUGCGUGGUGUAGCGGUGAAAUGCAUAGAGAUCA
Molecule: ribosomal RNA, 363 nt
Filed under: uncultured bacterium
Lineage: Bacteria
Description: partial 16S ribosomal RNA
Rfam family: Bacterial small subunit ribosomal RNA
Source: RNAcentral